CUACGGGCUGCUCCAGUGGGGAAUAUUGGACAAUGGGGGAAACCCUGAUCCAGCAAUGCCGCGUGUGUGAAGAAGGCCUGCGGGUUGUAAAGCACUUUCGGUUGGGAGGACUGCUUCUAGCACUGAUAUUGUUGGAAGUUGACGUUACCUUCAGAAGAAGCACCGGCUAACUCCGUGCCAGCAGCCGCGGUAAUAGCGGAGGGUGCAAGCGUUAAUCGGAAUUACUGGGCGUAAAGCGCGCGUAGGCGGCUAGAUCAGUCGGGUGUGAAAGCCCCGGGCUUAACCUGGGAACUGCAUCCGAUACUGUCUAGCUUGAGUACAGGAGAGGAGAGUGGAAUUCCACAUGUAGCGGUGAAAUGCGUAGAUAUGUGGAGGAACACCAAUGGCGAAGGCAGCUCUCUGGCCUGAUACUGACGCUGAGGUGCGAAAGCGUGGGGAGCAAACAGGAUUAGAUACCCCUGUAGUC
RNAcentral lists this ribosomal RNA (466 nucleotides) under uncultured bacterium. RNAcentral's name for it is "partial 16S ribosomal RNA". It matches the Rfam family "Bacterial small subunit ribosomal RNA", at positions 339 to 795 of the family's 1533-position model. The record is from RNAcentral.